GGCAAAAAUCUCAACCGUGCCCACUUCCUAGGAGUGUGGGAAGGAUCAUAUCUAACCAGGUCCAUCAAAUGAGAAGACUUCCCAGUGGAAGGGAGGACUGGAGCUACAAGGGGAGUCCAACCUGCUGGCAUGGCUAGGCCACGCGGUCACGGGAACGGCACCAUGAAACAGAACACACAGGACCGUGAGAGGCACAGAGCCCACACACACAGCCGUGAGCCAAACCAUGGCAACAAGACACAGGCGGUGGCCUGAGACUUCACGGGCUCACACAGCACGACUGUGGGUAAUGUUUUUUCCAUUUCCUUUCAUUCCGUCGUCAAAGUGAUUUAAUAACAAAAUGAUCUAAAACAGCUAGAGGAACCCAGCUGUGUGUAGCUCACUGUCUGGACUGUCCUCACACCCUACACAGACUCUCCUGACCUUUACCCGGCUCAACGGGAAAUCAGGAAACCAAGGCUGGCCUUCAGGCCCAAUGCAGCCUCGUCAACGUUUAGUGACCUCUGUCAAGCUUAAAAACACACAAAACCCAAAGAACCAGCAUGCCACGGGAAGAGGAGGGCAGACGCACACUGGCGUCCCUCUGCAGCCCAGGACUGGGCCCAGCAGCCAAACCAGCAGCUGCGCUGGAGGACGAGCACCCUCCAAUGAGGCCAGACAGCUGCCCAGCUCAUGACAAAAAUUUCAGUUAAGAAACCAACUGAUGGUGAGCGGUGAGGUUACCUCCCCACCCUCUCACCCGGCCUCACCAUUUCCCGUUUUUGGGAGGGAAAACGCGUCCUCUGCCACAAAGCAGAACUCGCAACCACCAGGACUUCCUCACCGUGGUAAAGUCCACGGCUGGAGCAAGAGCAAGCGAAUCACAAGGCAAACAAGAAGGUCUGCGAAGCUGAGAAACCCCCAGCCCCGGUAUGAGACGGCCUCGUGUGGCACUGGGAGGCUGGCCCAGAACCCCCGUCCCGUGCUUCACAGUGGACAGCAGAGUCACACAGCACUGCAACGGGAGCCCAGCUGGCUGUAUCGGGGGGAUGGAACAGCCACCCAGAAUCUCCGGUCCUGAGGCCGUACAGCUGGCACCUGACCCUCACCAGAUCUGUCCGACUACAGAGCAAACAGGCUUCCCCUCGGCAGAUGAACCCUGGAUGGUGGACAGGAUUCUCAGCCUGAGCCCCCGAGGGAAGAGGGAGCCCACCUAUCACGUGUUCACCAUCCUUGAAUCCAAGGGAAACGGCAAGCAAGGGCCUGAAAACCCCAGUAAGUGACCCUGAAAAUUACUCUUCUACCUCCCCCUCCCCACCAGGCCCCUGUGCCUGUUCACACCCGUGCUGGGUCCCCCCAAGCGUUCCCUGACAGCCACCAACAAGACCACAUCAGGGUUCCUGCUAUCCACAUGACACCACUGGCUUUACUCAAAGCGUGUGAUCAACCGGGAUGCGCCGCUACUUUUCUGCGUGGGCGGGCGUCCAAGCGCCCCAGUCCACGCCUGAACAACCGACUUUGGAAACUGUGUGGUCUUGGAUAGACUUCGCACACAGUGCAGUUCAUCCGGCAGGUAUGGCCACAGACUACAGACUCUUAAGUAAAGGCAACUCUGCUUCUCCCUGAGAAAAGUCUCAGCCCGGCCAACUCCCAAAUCCACGUGCCUGUCCAGUGGCCUCAUUUCUUCAUUCAACUAUUUUCAGAGUGUCUCUGAGCCUUGUCCUCUGUGAACAGAAAGGUGAGGAAGACAUGACUGCUGCCCUCAGGCGGACGGGGGCAGAUGAAAGGGGAAGGAGACAGGUGAAUGGAUAGUCAUCACAUGGCGUGAGCGCUGUGACUUCCUGGGUGACUAACAGCUGACAAGAUGAAACCUGAACUCACCUGCAAGAAGCGUGAGCUGUCCGUGGAGGGCAGGGGCAUGAGGGGAACUGGAAGGAGCAGGUGUGCUAAGCCUGAGCCCCGUCUCUGUGGAGAGGAGGGAGACAUCCAAGGUGCACUGGGGCUGCGGGAAGGAGGCGCCAGCAUGGAGGCUUGCCCCAGGGGCUACAGACAUUAGCCCGCGGGGACUGAGAAGCCAGGAAAAGCCAGAGGACAGGCAGCAGGUAGCAACAACGUGACUACAGAGUGUGAUUUAUAAAGAGCACAAAGAAAGGACCAGAAAGGAAAGGGCGAGGGUCACCGGGUGAAGCCACUGAAAACCGAGUCGGAUAUGGGUCAAGAGAGCCACUUUCUCAUCCCCAGGGUGGCAGAGGGGAGCUGCCUGGGAGUCUGUGUGGAGGGGCAGCCCGUUCCACCUGCACAGUGCACUGCCCACACAGCUAUCCACGUCUCCCUCUCACACGCACAUAGGGCCUCUGGCCCCACAACUUCCCUGGGAUCAGGUAUGGUCACCCCCUCCAUGCAGCGAGGUUUGGAACAACUAAAGGACUUACUCAAUGGUUCACAGCAAAUAAAAGAUAGGUCAGCACUAAAA
This is a long non-coding RNA of Lynx canadensis (Canada lynx), 2452 nucleotides long. RefSeq lists it as uncharacterized. NCBI's taxonomy places the organism in Eukaryota, Metazoa, Chordata, Mammalia, Carnivora, Felidae. The transcript has 2 exons. The record is from RefSeq and is a predicted model, not a curated record.